AACGAACGCUGGCGGCAUGCCUAACACAUGCAAGUCGAACGAGACCUUCGGGUCUAGUGGCGCACGGGUGCGUAACGCGUGGGAACCUGCCCUUAGGUUCGGAAUAACUCCCCGAAAGGGGUGCUAAUACCGGAUAAUGUCUUCGGACCAAAGAUUUAUCGCCUUUGGAUGGGCCCGCGUUGGAUUAGCUAGUUGGUAGGGUAAAAGCCUACCAAGGCGACGAUCCAUAGCUGGUCUGAGAGGAUGAUCAGCCACACUGGGACUGAGACACGGCCCAGACUCCUACGGAAGGCAGCAGUGGGGAAUAUUGGACAAUGGGCGAAAGCCUGAUCCAGCAAUGCCGAGUGAGUGAUGAAGGCCUUAGGGUUGUAAAGCUCUUUUACCCGGGAUGAUAAUGACAGUACCGGGAGAAUAAGCUCCGGCUAACUCCGUG
This 433-nucleotide ribosomal RNA is filed under the name uncultured bacterium. RNAcentral's name for it is "partial 16S ribosomal RNA". It matches the Rfam family "Bacterial small subunit ribosomal RNA", at positions 29 to 507 of the family's 1533-position model. The record is from RNAcentral.